GAAGUACAAGCUCUAGUCUGUCUGGUCGAUCACUGCUUGUCUUUUUGACUAUGCAAGGUCUCUUCCGGUGCUGCUUUGGAGCCGCCGGGCUUUGGUGAUAGACUCUGUGUCACGAACAGAGACUCAACAGUGAUGAUCGCCGAAAUCAGCGGCAGUAUUGCUGAGAACAAUAAACAAUUUAUGUAGCAUUUGAUUAAUGAUAAAAAUCAUCAAUGCAGAAUAUUCUAAAAAUAUUUCUUGCCAUGACAACAACAAGCAGACAUGACCGUCAACAAUACAGCCUAAGAAAAUCUGAUCACAUACAGAACUGCACUCCUGUACAAGACAAAUGUGUCGUACUGUCAUACAUGACAAUUGAUAACAAGAUUCAGUUAAACCCAUGACAAUUGCAUGAUCACAUUAUCACAUAUGAGCUAGAGAAGUAGUGGCAAUCGAGCUUCAGAAAAUCCUAACAUGGAAUACAUCGUACAUUUAUCUGUAUGUAGCUAAUGAUUCUGUCUGCCAACAUUUAACAAACAUAAGAUUUAAGCAAAGAAGCAUCAGCUACAUACAGAUAAAUAUGUGAUGUAUUACAUGUUAAGAAUUUCUGAAUAUAUGGUUGAAGAAUAAAUAUGUUAACUGAUUGCGACUACUUCUCUAUCUCAUAUAGACAUUUAGCAUAAUGUAGGCCUCCUUGAAAGGAGCAAAUCAACCAGUUUUAGGGUGAAAGUGAAACACUUGUCCUCGAUAGUUAAGCCAAUGCAAAUCAAUACCAAUCCUCUAUUAUGGGAACAUUGAGAUUGAUUAACUAAUGACUGGCACCAAGUAAAUGUCAUGGCUUCCUAGAAAAAGGAAAAGCGAAAGGAAACACAUCAACAUUACGAAUUAGGUUUAUGCCAGUUCAACCGAAACAGCGAAGAUAUACAGCCAGAAAGAGGGUCACUGUACCUCAUUGCAAUUGAAAUAAUUCUUAAGUCGAAUCUGCUAGUAACCACGAGUUGCUCCAAAGUGCACAAAACAAGAAAAUUAAAUUACUCAUAUAGCCUACUGAAUAAUUAUAUUGGCCAUGCAGUA
RNAcentral lists this long non-coding RNA (1053 nucleotides) under Triticum aestivum (bread wheat). RNAcentral describes it as "long non-coding RNA (TAES_LNC003172)". The record is from RNAcentral. Lineage: Eukaryota; Viridiplantae; Streptophyta; Magnoliopsida; Poales; Poaceae.